AAAAAGGGUCAGUUGGCUAAUAAUGCAACGCUCAUCCUUGUUGGUGAGUGCCGUAUGGCUAUCAAGAUAUAUAUAUGGCUGACAUAAUUUUUGUGAAAUUAUAGGGUUGACUUGCUAAACCGACCCUAAA
This is a small nuclear RNA of Trifolium pratense (red clover), 130 nucleotides long. RefSeq annotates it as U11 spliceosomal RNA. The record is from RefSeq and is a predicted model, not a curated record. The transcript has a single exon. NCBI's taxonomy places the organism in Eukaryota, Viridiplantae, Streptophyta, Magnoliopsida, Fabales, Fabaceae.